RNAcentral lists this unclassified non-coding RNA (231 nucleotides) under plant metagenome. RNAcentral's name for it is "partial contains small subunit ribosomal RNA, internal transcribed spacer 1, and 5.8S ribosomal RNA". The record is from RNAcentral.
UCUCCGUUGGUGAGCCAGCGGAGGGAUCAUUACAGAGUUGCAAAACUCCCAAACCAUUGUGAACGUUACCUAUCCCGUUGCUUCGGCGGGCGGCCCGGGCCCCGCGCCCGGCGCCCCCCGGCCCCCCGUGGGCGCCCGCCGGAGGUAAACCAAACCCUUGAAUUGCAUGGCCUCUCUGAGUCUGCUGUACUGAAUAAGUCAAAACUUUCAACAACGGAUCUCUUGGUUCUG